Molecule: long non-coding RNA, 389 nt
Organism: Saccostrea cuccullata (small rock oyster)
Lineage: Eukaryota; Metazoa; Mollusca; Bivalvia; Ostreida; Ostreidae
Exons: 2
Source: RefSeq, a predicted model, not a curated record
AUAUUAAAUACAAACGAAAGAAAAAGAUUUACAAAGUAAUCGGACUGACAGAAGCAUCAAAGAUGGCUAUGGGCCGGCAUCGUGGUCGCGGAAAAGUCUAUGUGAUGAGGGGGAGAGGAAAUACCUUCAAAGUUGGAAGCUCAAGAAAACCUAGACGACGACAUAAACAAAUAAGGAGAACAAGACCAAGCACAACAUUGGAAAGGUCGUUCUCAGCCUGGGAAAUGAACGGGGCUGAGUCAGCAGCCCACGAAACUUUGCUCAGAAAGGGAUUCAAGAGGGUAAAAAAGGGACCAACAGAAUGGAUGAAGAAAAAGUCGUCAGUCUCUUGGGCAAAUACGGAGAAAAUUGUUCGAAAUUCGGUUUAUCGACACAACCGAAAAAUGAAG